This 468-nucleotide ribosomal RNA is filed under the name uncultured bacterium. RNAcentral's name for it is "partial 16S ribosomal RNA". It matches the Rfam family "Bacterial small subunit ribosomal RNA", at positions 28 to 507 of the family's 1533-position model. The record is from RNAcentral.
GACGAACGCUGGCGGCGUGCUUAACACAUGCAAGUCGAACGGAAAGGCCCUGCUUUUGUGGGGUGCUCGAGUGGCGAACGGGUGAGUAACACGUGAGUAACCUGCCCUUGACUUUGGGAUAACUUCAGGAAACUGGGGCUAAUACCGGAUAGGAGCUCCUGCUGCAUGGUGGGGGUUGGAAAGUUUCGGCGGUUGGGGAUGGACUCGCGGCUUAUCAGCUUGUUGGUGAGGUAGUGGCUUACCAAGGCUUUGACGGGUAGCCGGCCUGAGAGGGUGACCGGGCACAUUGGGACUGAGAUACGGCCCAGACGCCUACGGGAGGCAGCAGUGGAGAGUAUUGCACAAUGGGCGGAAGCCUGAGGCAGCAACGCCGCGUGCGGGAUGACGGCCUUCGGGUUGUAAACCGCUUUCGCAUGUGACGAAGCGUGAGUGACGGUAAUGGGUAAAGAAGCACCGGCUAACUACGUG